This is a long non-coding RNA of Cicer arietinum (chickpea), 885 nucleotides long. RefSeq lists it as uncharacterized. NCBI's taxonomy places the organism in Eukaryota, Viridiplantae, Streptophyta, Magnoliopsida, Fabales, Fabaceae. The record is from RefSeq and is a predicted model, not a curated record.
UGUAAAUUUUUGAGUCCGUAUAACAGGCCCACACGGCCAGUUACAUAAACAUAACAAAUAACUUCCAUUUCGUUGAAAAUUAGUUUGUUCACCUGCUGCUAUAUUAGCGCGAUUCUGCAGUUCUGUUUUGUGCGGUUUGUGCAUUUUACUGACUGCUUUUUGAGUUUCACUUGUGCAGGAUAAUUUAUUGAGGAAUUCUUAAUUGGCUGGUUAGAACCAACGGAUUCAUGUUGUGGAAUCAAUCUCUGGUAAAUGCAAGAUAUCCAAAAAGGAAAAGAUAUGCAGAUAGCUGGUGACCAGUUCUUUGGAUGCUGAGGGGAACUAGUUCACUAAAACUGGGGUCCUCUCUUCUCUUAUCAUCUUCAAAACAUAUAAAGAAAAAGGUAGCUUAAAGAAACUCAGAAUAUUUUUAAAGCUAAGUAGUAAUAGCUUCAUAGGGCACCUUGAGAAAGAGCAUUUUAUAUGCUUUUUGACUUAACAUUGACAUUCCAAAGUUGCUAUGAAGUCAAUGAAGAAAUAAAAUAAAGCUCUAUUGCAUCACAAGGAAUCAUCAAUAUGGUACUCAUGUGCCACAACAAACUAGUUAGUGAAAACAAUUAUAUUGGGUUUAUUUAGAAUGCAUCUGUAGCAUCUAUGCUGUUGUAUAGUGUGUUAGGUUCUAACAUAUAGAAUUAUUUUCGUGCUCAGAGAUUAUAUGCUUAAUAGUUAGGUCCACUGAAUUUGAACUUAUUUUGAUUUCCACAGUAAUUUGAGUCGUGUUAUGGAAUCUAUUGGUCAUGGUGGUCCAUGACUUAUGUUCUAAAUUCUCUGCCUAAUCUUUGAAGUAUGCAAAACAUUUUUUAGACCACCUCAACAGAAACAACUGAAUAAAAUAGAUGUUUCUCA